UACGGAGGGUGCAAGCGUUAUCCGGAUUCACUGGGUUUAAAGGGUGCGUAGGCGGAAUGAUAAGUCUGUCGUGAAAGCCCUGGGCUCAACCUGGGAAUGGCGGUGGAUACUGGUGGGCUCGAGUACGGUAGAGGGUGGUGGAAUUCCCGGUGUAGCGGUGAAAUGCGUAGAGAUCGGGAGGAACAUCAGUGGCGAAGGCGGCCACCUGGACCAGUACUGACACUGAGACACGAAAGCGUGGGGAGCAAACAGG
RNAcentral lists this ribosomal RNA (253 nucleotides) under uncultured bacterium. RNAcentral's name for it is "partial 16S ribosomal RNA". It matches the Rfam family "Bacterial small subunit ribosomal RNA", at positions 524 to 776 of the family's 1533-position model. The record is from RNAcentral.